RNAcentral lists this long non-coding RNA (499 nucleotides) under Homo sapiens (human). Its description in RNAcentral is "non-protein coding lnc-TMEM189-9:2". Lineage: Eukaryota; Metazoa; Chordata; Mammalia; Primates; Hominidae. The record is from RNAcentral.
ACAGCUGAGCCGGGCGGGCCUGCAGCUCAAGAGGCAGGAGAUGGAGGCUGGUGGCCAAGGGGACACAGGAACUGCCCCCGGCCCCAUUCGGGGCUGGCACCUCCCAGGGCAGCCUGGCCCAGGCUCUGCAGAUGAAAGGAGAAACCAAGGCCCAGAGAGGGCAAGGCAGUUGCCAGAGAUCACACAGCAGGUCCGGGGCGCGGACCUAGAAUUCUGGUCUUAUCAUCCAGUGCUCUCAGCAUCACUCUGACUGAUGGGCAGGGGGGGACAAAUCACCUCAAAUUGUAACCUAAGCCCCCCAAGCCCCCAAAUCCUAACCUGGACCCUAAGGCCAGUGUGUUGGAUGAAGGGAGAAAUAAAUGGAAGGCAACUUGGGAAGGAAGCAACUUUGAGGGGUUACUGGGCUGUCCCCUGUGGUCGAUCCUAUAAUCAUAGUAACUGCUUCUAGUGUUUCUUGAGCAUCUAUUAUGUACAGGGCAUUACCAUAAGUGCCUUCCAU